Molecule: RNA transcript, 4296 nt
Organism: Eleginops maclovinus (Patagonian blennie)
Lineage: Eukaryota; Metazoa; Chordata; Actinopteri; Perciformes; Eleginopidae
Gene name: chemokine XC receptor 1-like
Exons: 3
Source: RefSeq, a predicted model, not a curated record
CUGUACUUGCUUUCCAUAUCUAAUGGUGAUGUUACUACAUAAUGUUUUCCAUAUUGUAAGGAUGUUCAAUGAAUUACUUUUUUUAAAAACUUCAUUUCACUGAGGGCCAUCUUCUCAUUUAUAAUUACACUUUGCCAAUUGUCGUUUUCUGCUUAUGUUUCCCAGAAUACAACGUACAAUGGCAUUCAACAACUCCACAGUGAACAGCGAUGAACAUUGUGAGAGGUUGUUUGACUUGUAUAAUUUUAGUGGUGCCUCAUUAAUUUUGAUCUUCAUCCUCAGUAUCAUAGGAAACUGCCUCCUCUUAUAUGUUCUCUUUCUCUAUGAGAAGUUGAAAAAUGUCACAAAUCUAUUUGUCCUGAACCUUGCCUUCUCCGAUUUGAUGAUCGCAUUCACAUUUCCGUUCUGGGCCUUCUAUAGGCUGCAAGAUGACUGGAUUUUUGAGAAUUUUGCCUGCAAACUUGUGACUGCUGCAGACAUUGUUGGAUUGUACAGUAACGUCAUUCUACUGACUGCUAUGACUGUGGACCGUUUCAUAACAGUGGUGCUGCACAACAUGCCAAAAAAACAAGAAAAGAGGUGGAAGUUUGCGGGAUUUAGCUGUGCAGCUGCAUGGAUCAUCAGCAUUUCAGUUUCUGUAUAUGCUGCUACCAACGUCAGUGUUGAAACACUCUGGUUUGGUCGCUCCUGCUAUCUUACGACAUCUGAUAAUGACGAAGCAUUUUAUCUUGCAGUGUCUGUGCUCUUCUUCUUCCCAUUAGCCAUCAUUGUUUUCUGCUAUUCUGCCAUCCUCAAGACAGUGUUGCAGGCUUCAAACAGAAGAAAGCACAGGACAGUAGUGGUGGUGUUAUGUAUAGUUGCUGCCUUCAUCAUCUGCUGGGUACCUCACAAUAUUAUGGAUAUAAUCGUGUUGCUCUAUAAACCUAAAGAGUGUUAUGCACAGAAACGCUUGACAAUUGCCUUUCAUAUUUUUCUGAUACUUGCUCAUUCUCACUGCUGUAUGAAUCCUUUUCUGUAUAUGCUCUCAGAAAAGUGGCGAAGGCAUCUUUUGGAUGUUUUUAGCUGCAAGAAAGUCAGGAGGAUGAGAGACAGGGAGAAAGGCACUGGCUCCUCUGUGAACCAAAAUGUAGCUUUUAUAUCAUAAAGCUCUGCUGUUGUGUUGGAACCCACCUGCAGCUAGACAUUUAUUGCUAAAAAUGAAAACAUCAAUGAAUACUUGAUAUCAUUUUUGUUUUGAACUUUAUUUGAACCUAUGGUGUUCAUAUUUCCUUAAGGAUAUCAGGGGGUCUAUUUCUAUAUAAGUCUCCAUGUUAAUGCUCAACUCUGACUACAUUUUGCACAUUCUUGCACACAUGUUUGCGCAGCCCUCCACCUUAAAAUACAAUUCACUGUAGUUUGCCAUAUAUUGCCAUGUCUUCAUUGUUCUCUCGCUAGUUAAUUUAGCUUCAGUAGCUUUGUGAGUAGGUGGAAAACACUGUCACUGGCUGUCUUAAAGUUGUACAGUUUUAAAUGACUCAUUUAAAAAUGUCAGUCUCAUGAAAGGGUCUUUAAUAAAGACUUGAUGGCUUGAAAAGACUGAGGCUAAAGAUUUGCAAAAAGGUAGUUUCCUCACCAAUUGAGGAUCAAUGUAAAGGAACAUUAAAGGAACGUUUAUAAAGCUAAAGUGACUUUGUUUCAUGUUCGAUGACAGGAAAAAGCAGCACAACUACAUGUGAUUAAACAACUGUAAAACUGUUAUCAAAUCAACUCUUAAAAGGUCAUGGUUAUAAUGAUUUUACUGCACUAAACAAAUCAACCUACUAGAUGGAAUUGAACCAGUUUUCGGUUUCUAGCUAAUUAAUUAAGCUUCAUUGGCUUUGUGAAUUGGUUCUAAAAAUGAUAUGUGAUGUACACUUUUUAAUCAAACAUGUAAACCAAUUCCAUUUAUUUUCCCUUUUAAUUUCCACUCAAGCUGUGUGCUGAAAAACAACAACAAUCAGCUCUGUGUCAUUUGGUAAAUAUUCAUGUGAUUUCAAAUUCUUGUUGAUACAUGUGUCAUGCAUUGUACAGAUAAUAUGUGAUACACUGUGUGUUACUUCACUUAACUUUAUGGUUUCAUAUCAAAUCGUUUAUCUCAGUUGUUAGUGUAGUUGUUAUAUUGUCACCUUUAAGAGUCUUGCAAACAAAACAGAACAUAUUUUCUUUUCAAAAUAUAUAUUCUUUUAUCAAAUUGGAACUUGUAACGUGUGAUUUAUACAUGUAUUUUAAUAGUUGCUAGAACACAUUAUCAUUAUUUCCUUGCUAGGAUAAAAAAGAUGAAAACAUCUUUCUAGCACGGACCCUUCCUUCCUGUUUUGUCUACGUUAUGUUUUAUCAGCAGAACAUCAGGUUACCAUUUUUGGUUAAUCUAAAAAUAUUCAUGCUUAAACUGGAAUGAUGAUGCAACACCUCUGAAAAAUGUGAAACCAAAGGAGGAGCUUCUUCAUUAGUUUACUCUUACAGUGGGGCAAAAAAGUAUUUAGUCAGCCACCAAUUGUGCAGGUUCUCCCAUUUAAAAAGAUGAGAGGCCUGUAAUUUUUAUCAUAGGUAUACCUUAACUAUGAGAGACAGAAUGAGAAAAAAAAUCCAGAAAAUCACAUUGCAGGAUUUUUAAUGAAUUAAUUUUCAAAUUAUUGUGGAAAAUAAGUAUUUGGUCAAUAACAAAAGUUCAUCACAAUACUUUGUUAUAUACCCUUUGUUGGCAAUGACAGAGGUCAAACGUUUUCUGUAAGUCUUCACCAGGUUUUCACACACUGUUGCUGGUAUUUUGGCCCAUUCCUCCAUGCAGAUAUCCUCUACAGCAGGGAUGUUUUGGGGCUGUCGCUGGGCAACACGGACUUUCAACUCCCUCCAAAGAUUUUCUAUGGGGUUGAGAUCUGGAGACUGGCUAGGCCACUCCAGGACCUUGAAAUGCUUCUUACGAAGCCACUCCUUCGUUGCCCUGGCGGUGUGUUUGGGAUCAUUGUCAUGCUGAAAGACCCAGCCACGCUUCAUCUUCAGUGCCCUUGCUGAUGGAAGAGGUUUUCACUCAAAAUCUCACGAUACAUGGCCCCAUUCAUUCUUUCCUUUACACGGAUCAGUCGUCCUGGUCCCUUUGCAGAAAAACAGCCCCAAAGCAUGAUGUUUCCACCCCCAUGCUUCACAGUAGGUAUGGUGUUCUUUGGAUGCAACUCUGCAUUCUUUCUCCUCCAAACACGACGAGUUGAGUUUUUACCAAAAAGUUCUAUUUUGGUUUCAUCUGACCAUAUGACAUUCUCCCAAUCCUCUUCUGGAUCAUCCAAAUGCCCUCUAGCAAACUUCAGACGGGCCUGGACAUGUACUGGCUUAAGCAGGGGGACACGUCUGGAACUGCAGGAGUGCGGCGUAGUGUGUUACUGAUGGUAGCCUCAGUUACUUUGGUCCCAGCUCUCUGCAGGUCAUUCACUAGGUCCCCCCGUGUGGUUCUGGGAUUUUUGCUCACCGUUCUUGUGAUCAUUUUGAACCCACGAGGUGAGAUCUUGCGUGGAACCCCAGAUCGAGGGAGAUUAGCAGUGGUCUUGUAUGUCUUCCAUUUUCUAAUAAUUGCUCCCACAGUUGAUUUCUUCACACCAAGCUGCUUACCUAUUGCAGAUUCAGUUUUCCCAGCCUGGUGAAGGUCUACAAUUUUGUCUCUGGUCUCCUUUGACAGCUCUUUGGUCUUGGCCAUAGUGGAGUUUGGAGUAUGACUGUUUGAGGUUGUGGACAGGUGUAUUUUAUACUGAUAACGAGUUCAAAAAGGUGCCAUUAAUACAGGUAACGAGUGGAGGACAGAGGAGCAUCUUAAAGAAGAAGUUACAGGUCAGUGAGAGCCAGAAAUCUUGCUUGUUUGUAGGUGACCCAAUACUUAUUUUACUGAGGAAUUUACCAAUUAAUUCAUUAAAAAUCCUACAAUGUGAUUUCCUGGAUUUUUUUUUCUCAUUUUGUCUCUCAUAGUUGAGGUGUACCUAUGAUAAAAAUUACAGGCCUCUCUCAUCUUUUUAAAUGGGUGAACUUGCACAAUUGGUGGCUGACUAAAUACUUUUUUGCCCCACUGUAUAUCGCACAGCUUCUCCAUCACAAUGAAACUCCCCACAUGAAGUGACAGUCGUUGUUCAGGAAUACAACAUACAAUGGCAUUCAACAACUCCACAGUGAACAGCGGAGGUGAAAACUACAGCGAUGAACAUUUUGCACUUCCGUUCUGGGCCUUCUAUUGGCUGCAAGAUGACUGGGUCUUUGGGAAUUUUGCCUGCAAGCUUGUGACUGCUGCAGACAUUGGUG